CAGUAGCCGCGGUAAUACGAAGGGGGCUAGCGUUGUUCGGAUUUACUGGGCGUAAAGCGCACGUAGGCGGAUCGAUCAGUCAGGGGUGAAAUCCCAGAGCUCAACUCUGGAACUGCCUUUGAUACUGUCGAUCUGGAGUAUGGAAGAGGUGAGUGGAAUUCCGAGUGUAGAGGUGAAAUUCGUAGAUAUUCGGAGGAACACCAGUGGCGAAGGCGGCUCACUGGUCCAUUACUGACGCUGAGGUGCGAAAGCGUGGGGAGCAAACAGGAUUAGAGACCCCUGUAGUCCCUGUCUCUUAUAC
This 301-nucleotide ribosomal RNA is filed under the name uncultured bacterium. RNAcentral's name for it is "partial 16S ribosomal RNA". It matches the Rfam family "Bacterial small subunit ribosomal RNA", at positions 509 to 807 of the family's 1533-position model. The record is from RNAcentral.